GGGUAUAUACACAAAAGAACCUUGCCUCCCUCCUGUAAAUUGGAGCGAGACAGCAACCUAAGUAAGAUCUUAUCCCUUUUACAGAAGAAUAUGGGAAAACUAGUCUUGGGUCAUUGAACUGAAAUGUAUUUCAGUUAAAUAGCAUGGUGUACAAAUUCCUUCCAGUGUUUCUUUUCAACCUAUUGGAAGCAUAGGCACAAAAUUUGACCUUUCAUACAUUGACACAGAGUAUUCCCUUCCUCCCAAAGUUUCCCCUAGUUGAUGUCAUCCACACAGUCGGGAUAACAGAUAUAUUUUCUCAGAUAAUGAAUCAUUUCAACCAUACUUCAGCAACACAAGGAAAAAGGACAAAGUGCUGCUUCUGCUCCAGAACAAAAUUCAACCCUUAAACAUCGAUGUCUACUUCCAUUUAGGAUAUAUUUAUUCCAGCUAAAGUUUCAGCAUUGUGCUGAGGAAUGAUGAAAAACAUUGUCUAUGAACAGAGACCAAGAAACUUCCUGAACUUUGCAUCAUUCAGUAAGUUAUGUUUGAGGUCACAAGGUGCAGACAUGUUGCAUGAUUCUUCUUGUUAGCCAGCUUAUUAACCGAAGAGGCCAAUCACCAGCUCGUGAAGCUGUGCUAGCAUGCAAUUCCUUUGUAUAAGUCUUGGUGAUUAUCUUCACUCGUGACAGACAGCAUACACAGAGAUAGGACAUUUUCCCCAUCAGAAACAGGGCAGUUCCUCUUGAAGAUAAACUGAUUGUGGUUGUCUGGCUUGGGAUGAGAACUGUGCCAGGCACUCUGAAUGUCCUGACAAGAUAACAGAUUUCUGUGGAUGGGAUGCUGCCUGAGGAUCACAAUGAAUAGUACUUUGAACAGCUACUGCUACUGACUGCUGUCUCCUUCUGAUACCAAAAAAGCUCUGCCAAAAAGGCUUCUUUUUGCCUACACUUUAUCCCAGUGUUUGGGUUUCUGUCCCUCCCAGCAUCACCAGCAUAUGGAGUGAGCACAGGAGGGGGGGACAUGCUACAGGAUUGAGUUCUGGCAGCAAGCUGGGACCAAUAAUGUGAGUAGAAGUUCCUAGGAACAUGAAAUAACAGUUCCAGAAGGGUAAACAACAGCAAUUAGGCACAUAACAGAGACAUCUUUCAGGUGUGUCAGAGAAACCCUACUGUUAUUUCCUAUAGAGCUGAAGGAAUUAUAGACUUCUAGAAUAUUUUUGUUGUUUUUGUUGUUGUUUUCUCCAGUUUGGACAAUUGUUUUUUCUUCCACUAAAAGAAGGAAUUGCUUUGGUAGAACUGGAGACCAGAGUGUCUACAGGAAUCAGCAUACUUGCGGGCUUGCUGUUUCAAUAUUGAUCUCUUCUGUUUUAUUGCAUGAAGAUGGUAAACAAAACAUUGCUGACUGCAUCAUCAACACAUUUCUUUUUUCUCCUCUCUGCCACUUCACGUUGAACACGAAACCAAAACUAAACUGAGAAAAGGCUCUAGGAAAGCACUGAGAAUUGGUUAAUGACAAAGAGUCUAUGUUGCAUGUUCUACAGUGCACUUUUUAGGAUAAACUGUAUUCUAAGGGGAUGUAAGAGACAGGGUUGGAUACUAAAUAAUGGGUGAUUAUAGAGAAGAUGAAGUUUGAUGCUUCUCAGAUCUACAAAGCAAAAGGACAUGUGAUAGUAGCUGCAAAAUCAAGCCAGGGAAAUUUGGCCUGGAUGUAAGAAAAGACCUUCUCAUUGUGAGGUGGCGAAGGAUGAACAGGUGCCCAGAGAGUCUAGAGAAUCUCUGUCUUGGAGAAUAUUCAAAAGCUACCUGGAGACAGCCUUCAGCAAUCACGCCUAGCUCCCAUGUUAGCCCUGCUUUGAGCAGGAGGUCAGACUAGAAGAUUUUCCAGAGAUCCUUCCAAGCUACAUUAGUUCUCUGUUCUUUGUGACAUGAAAACCUCUGCAUUUCAUGAAAGAAAGGUGAGUCUGUGUUUCUUCUCGAGGUGUCACUCUGGGAUAUGACUCAGCCAGGGAUGUGAAUGCUUACAAAAUAUGGCAGUUCCAAGCCUCUUGCAACAUAUUUUGCCUGGUUCUGGCCUCAUGCACACUGGACCUGCAAGAGCAGGCCCAGGGAGAGGUACACUUAAAGGCAGAGCAGCUGAUGAAGACCCAAAAGACGUUGUCUGAGGUGUGAAAACAUGACAGGGUACUUUGGUGUCUGUGCACUGUGCUGUGAUCCAUUCAAGCAUGUGGACAUGACCUGCUGUGACGAUCCAUGUGAGAGGGGCUGCCUGUCCUGCAGCCAUGGCUUCCAUCUCUCUUUGUUCUUUUCUUAGGAGGGGACAGGGGCCAAGGAAAACCCACCUGGCUGAGGUUGUUGGCACAGAACACUGUUGACAGACCAGGGCUGACCUCCCUGCUGAGACUCUCAGUAGAGAAGGAAGCAAAAGGCAUACGUGGUUUCAUAUGCCUUUGGCUUUUCUUGGACUAACUUGAUCCCCAAAGCUUGCAGGAAAGAAGAGCUGGGGAGACAAACUUCUCCAAAAGUAAAUGCCGCCUGGAGACUUGGCUAAGAAUUAGACAGACACGUUACUGAGCCAAACUGUAAAUCUAAAAUUUUGAAAUAAAGUUCGGAAUUUUCCUCAGAAAAGCUUGGCCACCAGGAGGUCUGACUGUGAGGUCAGUGCCAGAAGAGGCAGAAAAAACUGGACUGAACUUCAACAAGCAAGACAUUUCCUGAUUGCCAGAUAUUGACAAGCCUUAAUUCAGCCCCUCUCCUUGAACAGACUGAAGUAGUUAUCGGGAAAAGACACCUACUGUAAAUCUGUGGGGAGUUUGGUGCAUGGUUCAAGCCUGCUUCUUACAAAGGCACUUCCGAGGAGUCAGUCAGGAGCAGCAUGCUUCUCUCAGUAGCAGCAGAGGCUUCUGCAGUUGAGAAAACAAAGUUGAAAACAAACAGCUGCAUAAUGUAUUGCAGUAAGGCUUUCACGGCAAAGAGAUAGUGGGUCAUAAACAAGUCCCCCAGUAACUGGAGGAUAUCCAACAAGGCACAAGGCCUAAAAAGAACUAUUUGUUUUUUCACUCUUCAUGAGAUGAAAUGCACACUGCAGGAAAAUCCCGUGCAAAUCAACAUAGUGUCAUGGAAACCAAGAGACCAUCAAUAAAAGUAAUAAAUGGAAAAGGUUAUAAUAAUAUAUACUUAGCACUUUACAUUCUCAAAGUGCUGACAGGACAUUAAUCCUCAAAAUACCCUUCUGAGGGCAAAGGCAGCUUUAACAUUUUUAGGUGGGCUUGUGAAACAGUUUUUGAUCUCAAAUUGAUCUUCCCUGACUUCUGUUCACUAGGAUCACACUUUUCUGAAUUAAACGGAAUUAGAGAAUCUUCACACGAGAUAACAAGAUACUUCACUGUUUCUCCUCAUCUGACCAUGUGAAGCAAAGCCCAGAGUCUGCUAGACUACGCUUUCAUGCCAAUUCUGUAAAACAGUUUUUAAGCAGUCUUAGAGGAGAGAGGACUUCUUCCCUGGGGAACUCUAAGGAUUUGCACAGAGGUAAACCCAGCCAUGCCUACAUGUGGUACAGCGCUCUGCCACUGCAUUACUUCAAGAAGAGCAGCAAGAACUUCAGAGCCACCCCCAGGAGCCUGAUUCUGCAUCUGCUGGAGAUUUUCCAAAUAGCAGUUUUGCUCUGCAGAGCAAAUGAAUAGUUCAGUAACAUUUCCUCUGUAGCCUAAAGAGCCAGAUAAAGGCAGCAAGGAGAGAUUUAAUUUAUGCUUCAGAAAUUCACAACUGUGUUCCACUAAUGAAGUGGUCUGAUGCUGUGUGCUUUUCUGGCUGAAAAUACAAAGGCUGAUACGCUGUGCUAAUUUUAUUAUCAGGAGUUUAAGGUGUAAUAUACGUAUCCUCUAACUGAUAUUUUCCUAGAGAGCAAAAUGAAUCUUGUGAAGUGGCACAAUCCGGACAGUCUUUCACUGGAGGUGGAUAAAGGAAAAGUGAAAGUGGUGGUAUCACUGUUCAUGAAAGAUACAUUCCUCAUUUCCUAUUUUCAUAAGUACAAGGGCUACUGAAAGCAGUGCCUCCUAUUUUGUUAUGUUCACUUGUGACAUCAGAGGUGGAUCAUGGUGGUAUGGCAGUAGGGGUUGUGCCUUCUUGCCAGUAUCCCAUUGCAUUUUGUUGCCAUGUGAAAGAUGGCAGCUGAGGGGCAGUCUGAUCAGAUGGUGACUGACAUGCGAGCUCAUAUGAAGCAAAGGGGUAUAACUGAAUCCCACCUUGUACAAGAGACUGCACCCACUGACUAUCCUGAAAAACAAUGCUUAGUAGUUAAGAAUUUCCUCUAUCAAAUAGUUUUGUUGUUCUCUUUGUAUCUCUUGCUGUUUAGUGGAAAAUUUUGUGGAAAUAAGUGGAAAGCAUUACUUUUCAAUGAAUCUGUGUAGACACCAUGAAAAUUCUUGCAAAAAUCACUUUACAACACUGAAAGAUAAGCAUGAGUGACAUCCACACACACACACACAUACGCACACAAAACAAAAACAAAAACAAGCCCACCAACCCAAAAUGAGUUUCAAGUAUCUCUGUUAAUUCUGAAGUGAAUGCCAAAACUUUUGCAGCAUUGUGAGCAAAUUACUUACAGUAUGUGCUUUUAUAUUCACGCAUCCUAAACUGGACAGGAAUGGUAAAUCACCAACUACGAAUACAUAUUUGUUGCUUACUGGAGACAUGACAGUACGUAAGAAAAGCACACCAAGCAUUGAGAUCUCUUGACAUAGGAGCUUUCCCCCUUACAAGCCUCCUCUCCUGAUGCUUGCUUGCUUCCAGACUCUUUGUACAUUGUGUUUCCUCUUUUUUCCCCUGCCCACAGCAAUUCCCACAUAACAGUGGAAAAGUUUUUAUUUCCCUAUGUGCAGAAAUACAGACCCACUCAUCUGUCAUGUCAUGGUGUGGAAGCUGGUGAUGUUAUACAAGUGUAAAGGUGGUGUGAAAGGGCAAUUUGGCUCUCUGUAGUCUUCAUCUGUUCAAGCUCAUACUAGUACACUGAGUUCCAAAUAAAUAGAAGCUCCUCUCCAGCUGGUGUUUUGGUAGAAAAGGUGGUUGAGCAACCCAGUCUGGAUUUUCCUACUUCUGAAGAUGCCUUGAACAUUACAUACACUUUCCUAAUAUGUUUUCAGUGUCGACUAUAGCACAGCAGUGGGUGGAAUAACAAAUAGGUAUUCUUUGGGAAUUAAUUGCCACUGUCAGGGUUCAGAAGAGUUCAGAGCAAGUAUUAUAUUAGUGUUUAUUCACUGGUGCUUUCCACUGUUCACCAGAUUUUUCCUCUGCCCAGUCCAUGCAGAUACACACUCAGAAGAGAAUUCCCUUUGCUUUGCUGCCAGAGCUCCCCCUCGGUUUUAUUGCCCACAGAGUAAGUUUGCACAGUGAUGGAGGAAUACAGGGACUCUGAGUGGUAUUUUGCAGAUUCAAAUUUCACUCCUGGUCCUGUUACUGACCUCCUGUGCCCAUGUUUCUAUGCAGGCUCUUUGGAGAAAGCACAUGAAGGUUAAUGUGGUGUGCAUCAUGCAACUUAAUGUUAUGGAUGAGAUUAUGUUGUUUUUUGUUUGUUUUUUUUUUUUUGUUUUUUUAAACUAAAUCACAUAUUUCUGUUUAAUAGGUUGUAAAGCAACAAAUGGGUAAUAUGUCAAACCCACCUACUCCUUAACCCCUCCCUAGCAGUAAAUAUAUUGUAAAAAUGAAAAGGGAAUAUGAGGGUUGAAACCUAUCAAUGGUAAACUUACGCCAUUACAGAGGCUUCUGGAUGUUUUAUCUCGCCACAGAGUGGACUCUCAUCCAGAAAUUCAGGUGGCUUCUGUUAAUAGCUAGAGCACAAUGAAAAAUCUAACUGAAUCAUCUGAAAGACUAUUUUAAUGAAUGACUACAUUAGCAAGUAUUAUCAGCUUCCUGCUCAGACUAGGAGGAACUUAUUCUUCUAAUGCAACUACCUCUUUUUUUUUUUUUCUUCCCCACCCCCCCCAUUUUCUGCCUCCUCUCGUCUUCAUUCUCUCGAGUUUCACAAGUGUACAGUAACAAUUAAUUAUGACUCAAACCAUGGAGGUUAACACUGUACUAUUAAUAUAACCUUUCUGGGGAAUUAUAAACUACUUUUGUAUUCACAGUGUAUAUAUGUAGCAAUAUUUAUUCAUGUAAUAUUCAUCAGGAUAUGAUGAGCUGAAUAGAGAAGGUUGUAUUAGUGUGGAUAAAUUAAGAACAGAUGAAUAUCUCACCUUAGAAAUCAAACUGAAUGCGGACUUUUUUUUCAGUUUGGAGGCUUUAAAGUGAUCUUAACAUUUUUCUGCUGUUCAUCUCUUUACUUAUUUAUAUAAUUCUUGUUACAUUCCCACUACAUUUCCAGGCUUCAUUCAAUGAUAGCACUAUGUGAUAAAAAGUGAAACUAGAAGUAUCAUUCAAAUCACCUUAACAAGAAAUUUGCAGAACAGAGAAAGUACUGUAAAGGCUUGUUGAAAAAAAAUUCCUAAUGUUGUUAUUUGCAUUUCUGUCAUUUAUUUUGAGGGAAACAUGACUGCAUCUCCUACCUAGAAUGUUCUUCAGACAUAAUGAAAUUUCACAAAACUCCCCAUAGACUUAUUACAGUAUGACAAUUAAGUUGUUCUAAAUUCUUAUCAAUAACUAAUUCUCAGACAACCUUACACAUCACAUCUUUGAACAGACAGGAAGAACAAACUGCUAAUUAAUUCAUAUAUAAGUACUGAAAUGUCACUUCAUAGGUGGUACUGGAAAGAACCAGUAUUAUAUGCAGAUGCUUCCAGAAGUAAUGCCUCCUAUUUAAUUCUAUGUUAACUACAACAGAUACAAAGAACACAUUAAUAUCAUUUGAUAC
Coturnix japonica (Japanese quail) is the source of this 6822-nucleotide non-coding RNA. Lineage: Eukaryota; Metazoa; Chordata; Aves; Galliformes; Phasianidae. The record is from RefSeq and is a predicted model, not a curated record.